RNAcentral lists this ribosomal RNA (497 nucleotides) under uncultured bacterium. RNAcentral describes it as "partial 16S ribosomal RNA". It matches the Rfam family "Bacterial small subunit ribosomal RNA", at positions 28 to 507 of the family's 1533-position model. The record is from RNAcentral.
GAUGAACGCUGGCGGCGUGCCUAAUACAUGCAAGUCGAGCGAACAGACGAGGAGCUUGCUCCUCUGACGUUAGCGGCGGACGGGUGAGUAACACGUGGAUAACCUACCUAUAAGACUGGGAUAACUUCGGGAAACCGGAGCUAAUACCGGAUAAUAUAUUGAACCGCAUGGUUCAAUAGUGAAAGACGGUUUUGCUGUCACUUAUAGAUGGAUCCGCGCCGCAUUAGCUAGUUGGUAAGGUAACGGCUUACCAAGGCAACGAUGCGUAGCCGACCUGAGAGGGUGAUCGGCCACACUGGAACUGAGACACGGUCCAGACUCCUACGGGAGGCAGCAGUAGGGCAUCUUCCGCAAUGGGCGCAAGCCUGACGGAGCAACGCCGCGUGAGUGAUGAAGGUCUUCGGAUCGUAAAACUCUGUUAUUAGGGAAGAACAAAUGUGUAAGUAACUAUGCACGUCUUGACGGUACCUAAUCAGAAAGCCACGGCUAACUACGUG